GAUGAAGAACGUAGUGAAAUGCGAUAAGUAGUGUGAAUUGCAGAAUUCAGUGAAUCAUCGAAUCUUUGAACGCACAUUGCGCCCCUUGGUAUUCCAUGGGGCAUGCCUGUUCGAGCGUCAUUUGUACCCUCAAGCUAAGCUUGGUGUUGGGUGUUUGUCCACUCCCUCGUGUUUGGACUCGCCUUAAAACAAUUGGCAGCCAGUGUUUUGGUAUUGAAGCGCAGCACAAUUUGCGAUUCUAGCCUAGAAUACUAGCAUCCAUCAAGUCAUUUUUAACGCUUGACCUCGGAUCAGGUAGGGAUACCCGCUGAACUUAAGCAUAUCAAUAAGCGGAGGA
Molecule: unclassified non-coding RNA, 337 nt
Filed under: soil metagenome
Description: partial contains 5.8S ribosomal RNA, internal transcribed spacer 2, and large subunit ribosomal RNA
Rfam family: 5.8S ribosomal RNA (bases 1-120)
Source: RNAcentral